CAAAUCAAUGUUUAAAUUUUGAGUAAAACGAUUCUGGCUCACAUUUAAAUUGUAUUUUUGGUGAUGAAUAAGAAAUAGCAUAUACACACACAUAUAUAUGUGCAUUGCCAUUCCUUGCACUAAAAUGAGGAUGUAGAGAGGAACUUUAGACAAAAGGAAGAGAAAACAGAAAAUAGGGGUCAAGCGCAAGAUAUGUGUAAAUGAAAUUAGAGAGCAAAGAAAAUUAUAAAUCAACCUUUUUACCUUAGUCUCGCCUUGGCCCUAUUUGUCUAGGUUGACUUUUUUUUUUCACUCGUUUAUUUAUUAUGUCAAUCUCUUUAGCAAUCUCAAUUCAUUUUUUGUAUAUAUCGAAAAUGUUCCAAGAUAGUAGUAAAAUAUAUUUUUGAGAGUGGAUAAAUAUAUGUAUCCGAAAAAAACAUAGAAUACUACUGAUUAAUUAAUGGUUCCUUUCAUGAGCAAAAAAUGUAAUAAAUUUCGAUAUAGUUAUUUGACCCAUGAUCUCUCGAAAUUAUUUGUAUCUCACGUCCCUCAGGUUUGUGAUGAUGUGGCAUCCAAGCUGGACAAGAAGAAGAAAGAAGUAAAGACUGUGGAGGAAACCACAGGUUUGCCGUUGAGAUUGGAGGAAGCGAAGCUUGUGGCUGCGGUGGUUUGACGAUGAUGCAGAAGACGAACUCGCAUGAGAGUGGCGGUGAUUUUCACCAGAGGCGGACAUCGGAAUCUUCGAAGUCGCGUUAGUGACAGUUAGGUGACUUGCGAACGAGAGAAGCUCCUCCGACACCGAAUUGAAUUCUCAGGAGGUAUUGUUUCCCAAUCUAGAACGAAACCGGAAGGAUUCUCAGUUAGGUUAUCGAGCUGGUGUGUAUUGAUUGUUGAUAAUUGCGAUCAUAUUCUCUGUAAUGGUGUGGUUCUGCUAUGAGCUGUUGUACAAAGAUGAAUCCACUUCGCUCAGGGAAGAUGUUCAAAGGAGAGAGAAAUAUAGUGCAGAUGAUAGCAUCACCAAGUGUGGCAAAUCGAAUCAUGUCACUGUUCUUGAGAUAUACUCACCAAGUGAAACAAAUUGAGCCGUACCACUGAUUUGAGACAUGGGAAGGAUUCAAGUUUGAGAAAAAGGCAUUGAACCAGACAGACAUUGUGUUUCAUGGUAUUGAUAUGGUUCCAGAGGCAUCCAGAAAAGUUCGCAUUCAGUCUUUUUGAGGACCAGUUUGGUGGGAAUGGAAAGAAGCGGCUUGGAUCAUCAAAUGGAAGGAAACUUCAUGUUCUUCAUUGUUCUUGGCCGUGAAAACGUCUCCAGCAAAUCAGCUGCAUGCCACACAUAUGAAAAUUGACAUGAGUCUACAUGAAGAAACAACACCAAGUUUCCUGACAUUUGAUGCAGUGACUGGCGUAACUCAAGAACAUGCCGUUAUCUUGUACACAAGUCUACUAGACCUGAAUAUCAAGUGUGGCAUCGUUGGAGAUACAAGACAAUUCAGACCAUCGACGUAGUGUCACUUACGCUGUUGCCACAAGUGGGUGCAGAGAGAAUAUUUUGGUUAUCUUGCAAGCCUGUGCACAAAGGUAUCCUUGGCUUUGAGAUCAGACUCUGCAUUUUAUGGCGAGAUGCAGAACAGUCAAUUGGUUUGGCUAUGAAUUGGUGGGAGUGUACAGCAGUUUUACAUGAUUUGUUUGGACGGCUUAUGCAUGACCAUGUCCAUAUCCGGCCUAUGCCGUGUUUCCCUCCUUUUGUGUUAAGCUCGGAGAGAAGGGUGGCUGGAGAGAGAGAGAGAGAGAGACUUCCCGUUGAGUGCCACUGGAAGUCCAGAUUCUAUCCCUAUCUCAAUGUAUCUGUUAAUGUACAACAACAUUCAAGUACCAUAAGUUAUGAUGCAAAGUGUAAAAUCUAUUUUAUUGGUAUAUAAUAAACUCCUUUUACAAA
Brassica napus (rape) is the source of this 1915-nucleotide long non-coding RNA. RefSeq lists it as uncharacterized. Lineage: Eukaryota; Viridiplantae; Streptophyta; Magnoliopsida; Brassicales; Brassicaceae. The transcript is spliced from 2 exons. The record is from RefSeq and is a predicted model, not a curated record.